Molecule: unclassified non-coding RNA, 387 nt
Filed under: Helianthus debilis subsp. debilis
Lineage: Eukaryota; Viridiplantae; Streptophyta; Magnoliopsida; Asterales; Asteraceae
Description: partial trnH-psbA intergenic spacer
Source: RNAcentral
CUCUACUAUUAUCUAGUAUUACUAUAUUUUUCCAUUAACAUAAAAAAGCAUAUUCUUUCUCAUUUUUAUUGAAUAAAUAAAAGUAAUAAAUAAGCAAAAUUUUCAUUUUUAUCUAGAAUUUAAAUUGUAAAAAAAAAAAACUUCAUAAAAGAUUAGGAAAAGUAAAAGUAUAUGAUAUAGAAACCUAUAAUAUAAAUGAAUACAAAUAAAAACAAACAAAUCGAACCAAAUUAUAAAAAGUACUUGUUAUUUUUAAAGUUUAAAGAAACUAUGUAAGGCAAAUAGUACUAAAUAAAAAAAGGAGCAAUAACGCCCUCUUGUUUUAUCAAGAGGGAAGCUAUUGCUCCUUUUUUAGUUCAAAAACUCCUAUACAAUCAGACCAAAGUC